Long non-coding RNA from Macadamia integrifolia, 379 nucleotides. RefSeq lists it as uncharacterized. The transcript has 3 exons. Lineage: Eukaryota; Viridiplantae; Streptophyta; Magnoliopsida; Proteales; Proteaceae. The record is from RefSeq and is a predicted model, not a curated record.
GGAGAGCAGAGAGGAAAGAAGAGAGAGCCUAGCUGAAACUGUGCACGAGAAAUCUUCACCUCAGUUUGGAACUCGCACAGAGAGAGGAGAGAAGAAGAAACAGGAGCUCGCCCCCUUGUGAAAUCUCCUCUGCAGAGCAGGUAUUGGGACAAAUUUUAGGGUUUUUCUAGACCACCUAUACAGAGAGGUAACAUCUUCUUCUUCUCUUCUAUUUCGUCUUCUUCUCCUUUGCUUCCUGAAUCCAUACACCUCUUGUGGUACCUAGUUUCAUCUAUCACAGUGUUGUUGUAAGUUUGUUAACUUUCAAUUCUUCCAAUUUUCAUUUCAGCUUGUACAGAAUCUUCACCAAUUGAAAUGUGCAUUCUUGUUUUUAUGUUUA